ACAGAGGUGCCAAGCGUUAGGCGGAAUCACUGGGCUUAAAGCGUGUGUAGGCGGACUUUUAAGUGUCUUGUGAAAUCCCACGGCUUAACCGUGGAACUGCUUGACAUACUGGGAGUCUUGAGCUGCCUAGGGGUCGCUGGAACAAACGGUGGAGCGGUGAAAUGCGUAGAUAUCGUUUGGAACGCCAAAGGUGAAAACAGGCGACUGGGGGCAAGCUGACGCUGAGACACGAAAGCCAGGGGAGCAAACGGGAUUAGAUACCCCGGUAGUCCUGGCCCUAAACGAUGUCCACUAGAUCGUGGGAGCUCUGACGCUAAUCACGGUCGAAGCAAAAGUGCUAAGUGGACCGCCUGGGAAGUACGGUCGCAAGGCUA
Molecule: ribosomal RNA, 374 nt
Filed under: uncultured bacterium
Lineage: Bacteria
Description: bacterial SSU rRNA
Rfam family: Bacterial small subunit ribosomal RNA
Source: RNAcentral